This is a small nuclear RNA of Cavia aperea (Brazilian guinea pig), 105 nucleotides long. The record is from Ensembl. NCBI's taxonomy places the organism in Eukaryota, Metazoa, Chordata, Mammalia, Rodentia, Caviidae.
GCUCACUUUAGCAGAACAUAUUUUAAAAUUGGAAAGAUAUAGAGAAGAUUAGUGUGGCCUCUGCACAAAAUACUGUAGUUUCCUAAAGAAAUCUUAAACAUAUUA